GACGAACGCUGGCGGCGUGCUUAACACAUGCAAGUCGAACGGAAAGGCCCUGCUUUUGUGGGGUGCUCGAGUGGCGAACGGGUGAGUAACACGUGAGUAACCUGCCCUUGACUUUGGGAUAACAUCAGGAAGCUGGGGCUAAUACCGGAUAGGAGCUCCUGCUGCAUGGUGGGGGUUGGAAAGUUUCGGCGGUUGGGGAUGGACUCGCGGCUUAUCAGCUUGUUGGUGGGGUAGUGGCUUACCAAGGCUUUGACGGGUAGCCGGCCUGAGAGGGUGACCGGCCACAUUGGGACUGAGAUACGGCCCAGACUCCUACGGGAGGCAGCAGUGGGGAAUAUUGCACAAUGGGCGGAAGCCUGAUGCAGCAACGCCGCGUGCGGGAUGACGGCCUUCGGGUUGUAAACCGCUUUCGCCUGUGACGAAGCGUGAGUGACGGUAAUGGGUAAAGAAGCACCGGCUAACUACGUG
This 468-nucleotide ribosomal RNA is filed under the name uncultured bacterium. RNAcentral describes it as "partial 16S ribosomal RNA". It matches the Rfam family "Bacterial small subunit ribosomal RNA", at positions 28 to 507 of the family's 1533-position model. The record is from RNAcentral.